Molecule: long non-coding RNA, 579 nt
Organism: Uranotaenia lowii
Lineage: Eukaryota; Metazoa; Arthropoda; Insecta; Diptera; Culicidae
Exons: 3
Source: RefSeq, a predicted model, not a curated record
AACAUGUACGACGCAUCCACAAUGGACUCGGAAAAUUGGUGACCGCUUAAACAAUAUGACCGUCAACUGGAACGGAAAACCAGUGUCGAUGCACGGCCGACCUCACAUGGUCAGUUUUACAGUGCAUAGAACAAAAGUAAAUCCGGUGGAAACUUGGAUACCUCGUGCACAUGCAAUUCGAUCAAACGGAUCUCUGAAGUGAAGGAAUUAUAACCUGUUGAGAAUCAUAAGAGUGCCGCAAGUCCCAACCGGGUGCUGCAUGUUAAGAUACAUCAACAACAAAUUUGGACGUCUUUCGAGGACAUGUGGAGAACCUGAUGGUUCAAUUCUUCCACAAUAAAUUAAUACUAAUGCGGAUGUCGUGGACCUCCCUAUGGAACGCUAUUACCGCAUGCAUGAUUCGUUUUCAACGAAAAAAUUAAAUAGUGAUUAUGUCGACAAUUUCGAAAUAUCUGAAAGAAAAAUUUUAUAUUCAUAUUGUAUGUGAUUUAAAAAUGUUUAAAAUAAACUGGAAAAUUCUCAAAUAUUUGAAAAAUGCAUAACAAUUCUCUUAUCAAUGAAAUAAUCCUGAAAAAUAAC